CUUUCUCCGCCGGCGACCGGCGCACGGGUGAGUAACACGUAUGCAACCUGCCCCUGUCAGGGGGACAACCCGCCGAAAGGCGGGCUAAACCCGCGUACAUGCCACCGGGGCAUCCCGGAGGCAGGAAAAGGCUUCGGCCGGACAGGGAUGGGCAUGCGGCNCAUUAGGCAGUAGGCGGGGUAACGGCCCACCUAACCGACGAUGCGUAGGGGUUCUGAGAGGAAGGUCCCCCACACUGGUACUGAGACACGGACCAGACUCCUACGGGAGGCAGCAG
This 277-nucleotide ribosomal RNA is filed under the name uncultured bacterium. Its description in RNAcentral is "partial 16S ribosomal RNA". It matches the Rfam family "Bacterial small subunit ribosomal RNA", at positions 79 to 354 of the family's 1533-position model. The record is from RNAcentral.